AUCUCUGGUUGGAGAUCCCUCCUUGGUGUAGCUUUCCCCUGUGAACCUGGAAUCUUCUGAAGCAGAAAUACCUGUGCCGAGGUCAUAAAAUUCACUGCAUCUUGCAGAAGUAGUUUUCCUGUACGAAAUAUUUAGAAUAAUUCCCAAUCCAAUGUAUAAUUUCAGAUUCUAUCUGUAAAUAAUAUAAAGUCUGACAAGGGCUUGAAAAACCUGAACUUGUACUUUGGAAUGCCUAAGAAAAUGGGUGACAUUUAAAAUGCACAGCAAGAGAUACACAGGAAAACAGUUAUUUCUGGAUAUUGGUAUACAGAACGAUUUUCUUAAAUACAGCAUUCUUUGCCUUUGGGAAGGUGUUAAAAAUGAUUUCAAAUUCUCUGCAAUAGAGAAGAGCAAUUUUAGCAACAGGCCCAUGUACAGAUGUAAUGUGAACAGUGUCUGGGGAGAAGAGGAAAAAAGGAUGGCUCAAUCAUACAUCCCAGUGCUUAAGCACUGCAGCAAAUAGUGCUGAUGGAGCUGUGAGAGAGAGGCUUUCACUUUCCCGUGGCAAAUCUCUGUUUUAGCAACUGCAGGCAAAAAGGAUCAAAUAUUUACCUUGGUAUUUAGCAAAAUAAACUCAAGUUCUAA
Molecule: long non-coding RNA, 624 nt
Filed under: Gallus gallus (chicken)
Lineage: Eukaryota; Metazoa; Chordata; Aves; Galliformes; Phasianidae
Description: lncRNA (ENSGALG00010006762.1)
Source: RNAcentral